AAGCAGAUAUCUUUUCUCAAAUUCACCCUAGUUUUGCACAGCAUGUGGUGUGAUUGCCGGCCUGGUGUCAGGUUACAAAGGACGUUAGGUACUAGUGAUUAGUAUUUUUAGUUUCUAUAGGUCAUAAGCUUUCUACUGAUAUAUAGUUUGUCAUAACUCUGGUGAAUAUCUUUAAAAUUACAGCCAUUUCAAAAAUGGCCAUCAAUCCAUGUGUACCCCCCCCUUAAGAUAUUCCGUACGUCACCGUUUAUGCACACAUGCAACCAUGCAUACUACCUGUUUACCUGACCCUGGAGUCUUGACGUCUAUUCAUAACACCAGCAGUAACAUAUAAUUGUUUUGUUUAUGUGGAACAUAUCAUUUAUAUGCUAAUAAAUGAAUGUAGUAAAGGCACAAAAACAAACUAAUUAUAUUUCUACACAUAACCUGUUUAUCUAAUAUCGUGGCUGCUGGCUCUGGUACAAAACUACAAAAGGAACUGCAAACAUAAGUGGUAAUUUAUGACAUACAUUUAGGUAUGUCAACUAAUCACGUGGCUUGUUGAGAAUUUGGUAUCCACUUCAUUGAAUGUUGAUUGAAAUUAUUGAAUGUCACGUAAUCUUCAUCGCAGCCGCAAAGAGCAGCUUUGAUUAGAUGUAGGGCCUUUUUGGAGCAAUCAUAUAGUGCAAACAUCGAUCUUAUCAUGUGUCGAAUCUUUGAAAUCAUUUGCAUUAGGAUCGACACCCAAAUCUGUGCAGGGUAUUACACGAGCCAUUGCCGUGCUGAGAAAAACGACAGCUUAUUGUACAUACGUAAAAAUCUCC
Paramuricea clavata is the source of this 803-nucleotide non-coding RNA. The record is from the annotation of a GenBank genome assembly. NCBI's taxonomy places the organism in Eukaryota, Metazoa, Cnidaria, Anthozoa, Malacalcyonacea, Plexauridae.